UUGUGGGGGAGGACGCCGAAGGUGGGGCUAAUGACUGGGGUGAAGUCGUAACAAGGUAGCCGUACCGGAAGGUGCGGCUGGAUCACCUCCUAACAGGGAGACAACAAAAUGUUUAAUAUUAUUAUUUUGUCACCUUAGGUCGAUCGGUAUCUCACGUUCUUAAUUAGUUAAGAAUUUCAUUUCCUAAGUUUUUCUAGGUCACACCCAUUAUUUUUCCUGGGCCAUUAGCUCAGGUGGUUAGAGCGCACCCCUGAUAGGGGUGAGGUCCCUGGUUCAAGUCCAGGAUGGCCCAUAUCUCUAUGUUGGGGGUAUAGCUCAGUUGGUAGAGCGCCUGCUUUGCAAGCAGGAUGUCAGCGGUUCGAGUCCGCUUACCUCCACUGAUUACCACCUCUUCUAUAAUCUUUAGAAAGGAAAUGUUUUGAGUUGUGAUCAAAUUCUGAACGAAUCUAGCUUCCUAAUGAAAACAUUAAGAUGCUGGACUCAUUGAAUUAAUUUCAUUGUUUUCAGAGAACCUUGACAACUGCAUAGAUUAUUUUUUAAAGACAAUAAGCAUCUUUAAUGAUGCAGAUUUAUUAUUUGUGCGAAUGCAUUAAUAACAAUUCUAUUAAGCUGAUGCUUCAAUUUUGAAGUUAUUGGUCAAGCUACAA
RNAcentral lists this unclassified non-coding RNA (647 nucleotides) under uncultured Prochlorococcus sp. RNAcentral's name for it is "partial 16S-23S ribosomal RNA intergenic spacer; may also contain 16S ribosomal RNA and 23S ribosomal RNA". The stretch from base 305 to 377 matches the Rfam family "tRNA". Lineage: Bacteria; Bacillati; Cyanobacteriota; Cyanophyceae; Synechococcales; Prochlorococcaceae. The record is from RNAcentral.